This 517-nucleotide ribosomal RNA is filed under the name uncultured bacterium. RNAcentral describes it as "bacterial SSU rRNA". It matches the Rfam family "Bacterial small subunit ribosomal RNA", at positions 501 to 1016 of the family's 1533-position model. The record is from RNAcentral.
CUACGUGCCAGCAGCCGCGGUAAUACGUAGGUGGCAAGCGUUGUCCGGAAUUAUUGGGCGUAAAGCGAGCGCAGGCGGUUAGAUAAGUCUGAAGUUAAAGGCUGUGGCUUAACCAUAGUACGCUUUGGAAACUGUUUAACUUGAGUGCAGAAGGGGAGAGUGGAAUUCCAUGUGUAGCGGUGAAAUGCGUAGAUAUAUGGAGGAACACCGGUGGCGAAAGCGGCUCUCUGGUCUGUAACUGACGCUGAGGCUCGAAAGCGUGGGGAGCGAACAGGAUUAGAUACCCUGGUAGUCCACGCCGUAAACGAUGAGUGCUAGGUGUUGGAUCCUUUCCGGGAUUCAGUGCCGCAGCUAACGCAUUAAGCACUCCGCCUGGGGAGUACGACCGCAAGGUUGAAACUCAAAGGAAUUGACGGGGGCCCGCACAAGUGGUGGAGCAUGUGGUUUAAUUCGAAGCAACGCGAAGAACCUUACCAGGUCUUGACAUCCCGAUGCUAUUUCUAGAGAUAGAAAGUUA